CCCUUAGAUGCUCUGGGCCGCACGCGCGCUACACUGGUCGAUGCAACGAGUUUCUUUCCUUGGCCGACAGGCCUGGGCAAUCUUUGAACAUCGAUCGUGAUCGGGAUAGAUUCUUGUAAUUUUUGAUCUUAAACGAGGAAUUCCUAGUAAACGCAAGUCAUCAGCUUGCAUUGAUUACGUCCCUGCCCUUUGUACACACCGCCCGUCGCACCUACCGAUUGAAUGGUCCGGUGAAAUCUCCGGACUGGCGUGAGUCGGAGCAAUCUGACAAACACCGGAAAGUUGAUUAAACCUUACCAUUUAGAGGAAGGUGAAGCCGUAACA
RNAcentral lists this ribosomal RNA (324 nucleotides) under uncultured eukaryote. Its description in RNAcentral is "partial 18S ribosomal RNA". It matches the Rfam family "Eukaryotic small subunit ribosomal RNA", at positions 1470 to 1796 of the family's 1831-position model. The record is from RNAcentral.